AGAAAAAGAAAGGAAAAGCAUCUCGGUGCCUCAGCUUCCCUGCCCGGCUGUCUAUCACCGUGUUCUCAGGGAAUUAAAAGUCAUUUUAAUAACCUGGACCCAAUAAAAUUUGGACGGUAAUUCUGCAGCAGCUAUAAAAAAAAAUCACAGAAGGCCGUCCAAAGGAUAUGCAAUGAAUUUUUUUUUUUUUUCUAUUACUCACAGGUUGGGAUUCUCUAUGCCAUUAGAAAGUUGACAACUUAAAAUCAUGAGCUAGUAGUUCCCCCAAAGCCAGCGUGGAUGGAGCUCCUGCCUCAAGGGGCCAUAAAACUUCAGGAAACUGCUGAGUCAGGACCCAGCCCUCAGUAUGCAGGGAGUGGGGUGGAGAGAUGGCCUCUCCAGGAGGCCGUUGGGAUCCGGAACACCACUGUCUGGAUCCACGAGAAGUCGGAGCCUGGACAGAGAGAAAGGACGUUGCUGCCUGUUGGGUUUCGCCAUUAGCUGUUUGCAGAUUGAAAGCCCCAGUCUCCAGCCCAAGAAGCCAGUUUUCUACAAUCAUGUGGAUAGAGGUGAAAACAGCGGGUUGAAAAUCACACACUCUUAGCUGACGCCUGGGAUUUGGGCAUCUGUGGGAUUUCUUACCUGUGAUGCCUGGAACCCUCGCCCCUCCUCACGGACCCCCUCACCCCCACUGCCCUCCUCCCCUGGGCUACCGCGCCUUUUUAGGAUCUGGCUACAAAACCUGGUGCUAAAAUAUUGCUCAAUUUUAAUUAUACUUCCAAGCCCCUUGCUGUCAGCUGCCCUUCUGAAAUUGUUUUAAUUGAAGUUCCAUGAAUCCUGGGGAGUUCAGACGGAGUUCAUCUCCAAGCCCAUCCUGAUUUCAUUAAAGAUUUGAUCUUUCUUUUUUUUUCACCAAUAAAACAUUUAUUAUCGUUA
This is a long non-coding RNA of Felis catus (domestic cat), 915 nucleotides long. RefSeq lists it as uncharacterized. The transcript has 2 exons. Lineage: Eukaryota; Metazoa; Chordata; Mammalia; Carnivora; Felidae. The record is from RefSeq and is a predicted model, not a curated record.